AUGCGAUAAGUAAUGUGAAUUGCAGAAUUCAGUGAAUCAUCGAAUCUUUGAACGCACAUUGCGCCCGCCAGUAUUCUGGCGGGCAUGCCUGUUCGAGCGUCAUUUCAACCAUCAAGCCCCCGGCUUGUGUUGGGGACCUGCGGCUGCCGCAGGCCCUGAAAAGCAGUGGCGGGCUCGCUGUCACACCGAGCGUAGUAGCAUACAUCUCGCUCUGGGCGUGCUGCGGGUUCCGGCCGUUAAACCACCUUCAUAACCCAAGGUUGACCUCGGAUCAGGUAGGAAGACCCGCUGAACUUAA
This 298-nucleotide unclassified non-coding RNA is filed under the name uncultured Chaetomium. RNAcentral's name for it is "partial contains 5.8S ribosomal RNA, internal transcribed spacer 2, and large subunit ribosomal RNA". The stretch from base 1 to 102 matches the Rfam family "5.8S ribosomal RNA", at positions 53 to 154 of the family's 154-position model. Lineage: Eukaryota; Fungi; Ascomycota; Sordariomycetes; Sordariales; Chaetomiaceae. The record is from RNAcentral.